GGGAGCAAUGCCACGGCCUUUUAUUCUUUCGCAUGCAUUGUACGCAGAGUAUUCACAGUGAUUCUGGGAAAGAUGUGUAUUUCUGGCAAACUUACGGGCGUAUGAUAGGGUUUAUUCGCAAUUACGGUGAAAAUCCGUAUGAUUUUUACGUAAAUGAGCUUGGUUUUAUUCACUGAUGAGGCCUAUGCUGCCCUCUACUGACAAGAAAGGCUCCUGCCUCUUACCAAGGACGAUUCCCAGGCAGAAACAGCCCUUUUGCAACAAAGUGUGGGACAAGUCUGAAGUUGUACAGAAGAGGAGCUGAAAAACUGGAAGAAGACAGCAUGGCUUUUCAGAACUGGCGCAGUCUUCCUUUAGCAGGGAAGACACAAGGAGCAUGAUUAGCCCUGUGUGAGGAGUCUUCCCAGGAACAGAGAUCAGAACAAAGGAUGCCACUAUUUGAGGGAGGUUCCUUACUCACAGCCUUCUCCAUUAAACUAUGUUUGGUCUAAUUAA
Molecule: non-coding RNA, 495 nt
Organism: Coturnix japonica (Japanese quail)
Lineage: Eukaryota; Metazoa; Chordata; Aves; Galliformes; Phasianidae
Source: RefSeq, a predicted model, not a curated record